Molecule: ribosomal RNA, 378 nt
Filed under: Alnicola citrinella
Lineage: Eukaryota; Fungi; Basidiomycota; Agaricomycetes; Agaricales; Hymenogastraceae
Description: partial small subunit ribosomal RNA
Source: RNAcentral
UUGGGGGAAGCGCCGCGAAGUAGAUUUUAAAUAAGGUCAAACAUUAUAAAUAAUAAAUAUUGGUUUAUUAUUUGUAUAUCUUUUUCUCCGUAGGAGUAGGAUUUAUUUAAAUUAAUAAAUUAAACGAUUCCCACUCCCCUCACAGUCACAACUGUGACUGUGAGGACUCCUUCCUUUUGCUCGCAAAAGCAAGAUGGAGAAGGAGAAAGAGUCGGAGAAAAUUGAUUUGAUUAUUCAUUUAUUUGAGUAAUUAGUGUAGUUAUUCUUUAAUAUAUAAUUUUAUUAUAUUUUUUACUAGGUAUUUAACUGCUUUUUUUAGGUCUAAUUAGUUUCGACUAACCCAUCUGAGUAACAUCUCAAAAGUCAUAGCAAGGUAGC